UACGUAGGGUGCGAGCGUUAAUCGGAAUUACUGGGCGUAAAGCGUGCGCAGGCGGUUCGUUGUGUCUGAUGUGAAAGCCCCGGGCUUAACCUGGGAAUGGCGUUUGGGACUGCAAGGCUAGAGUGUGGCAGAGGAGACUGGAAUUCCUGGUGUAGCAGUGAAAUGCGUAGAUAUCAGGAGGAAUACCGAUGGCGAAGGCAGGUCUCUGGGCUAACACUGACGCUCAUGCACGAAAGCGUGGGGAGCAAACAGG
This 253-nucleotide ribosomal RNA is filed under the name uncultured bacterium. RNAcentral's name for it is "partial 16S ribosomal RNA". It matches the Rfam family "Bacterial small subunit ribosomal RNA", at positions 524 to 776 of the family's 1533-position model. The record is from RNAcentral.